CCGUGCAGCCGGGGCGUUAGCGGUGCCCUGUACCCACAAUCCGCUCUAGUGGGGGUGAUGCUUUAUCGAGGGCUUGCGCUUGCGUAGCUGCCCUUUACAAGUGGCGUUGAAGUUUGGGUCUUACGCAAUGAGAAUCCAUGAACCGUGUCAGGGUGGGAACACAGCAGCACUAAGUGGAACCUUUCAUGUGCCGUGAGGGUGCCUGGCGGAGUUAACUGUAAAGGUAACGUACAUGGGUUAUGGCUCGACAUAAAGCGCACGG
RNAcentral lists this signal recognition particle RNA (262 nucleotides) under Lachnospiraceae bacterium. Its description in RNAcentral is "signal recognition particle sRNA large type". It matches the Rfam family "Bacterial large signal recognition particle RNA". Rfam says of the family: The signal recognition particle (SRP) is a universally conserved ribonucleoprotein involved in the co-translational targeting of proteins to membranes. Archaeal SRP consists of a 7S RNA and homologues of the eukaryotic SRP19 and SRP54 proteins. In most bacteria, the SRP consists of a 4.5S RNA and the Ffh protein (a homologue of the eukaryotic SRP54 protein). Lineage: Bacteria; Bacillati; Bacillota; Clostridia; Lachnospirales; Lachnospiraceae. The record is from RNAcentral.